GUGCACGCUGGCGGUAGGCCUAACACCUGCAAGUCGAACGGCAGCACAGUAAGAGCUUGCUCUUACGGGUGGCGAGUGGCGGACGGGUGAGGAAUACAUCGGAAUCUACUUUUUCGUGGGGGAUAACGUAGGGAAACUUACGCUAAUACCGCAUACGACCUACGGGUGAAAGCAGGGGAUCUUCGGACCUUGCGCGAUUGAAUGAACCGAUGUCGGAUUAGCUAGUUGGCGGGGUAAAGGCCCACCAAGGCGACGAUCCGUAGCUGGUCUGAGAGGAUGAUCAGCCACACUGGAACUGAGACACGGUCCAGACUCCUACGGGAGGCAGCAGUGGGGAAUAUUGGACAAUGGGCGCAAGCCUGAUCCAGCCAUACCGCGUGGGUGAAGAAGGCCUUCGGGUUGUAAAGCCCUUUUGUUGGGAAAGAAAAGCAGCAGGUUAAUACCCCGCUGUUCUGACGGUACCCAAAGAAUAAGCACCGGCUAACUUCGUG
RNAcentral lists this ribosomal RNA (491 nucleotides) under uncultured bacterium. RNAcentral's name for it is "partial 16S ribosomal RNA". It matches the Rfam family "Bacterial small subunit ribosomal RNA", at positions 29 to 507 of the family's 1533-position model. The record is from RNAcentral.